This is a long non-coding RNA of Scophthalmus maximus (turbot), 423 nucleotides long. RefSeq lists it as uncharacterized. NCBI's taxonomy places the organism in Eukaryota, Metazoa, Chordata, Actinopteri, Pleuronectiformes, Scophthalmidae. The transcript has 3 exons. The record is from RefSeq and is a predicted model, not a curated record.
UUCACUUGACGAAACCACCGAAGCUAAAGUUCAACUGUUUAGCUAAUUUCAAAAUUUCAAAAUGUCAAUGUUUUUCCAUCUUUUUUCCCGUCUUAUUAUUUUCCACUUCAAACAAAGGAACAUUUCAUCGUGGAUUGACCAACUUCAUGAGGUGUGACGUGAUACGGCUGCCACCUCACCUGUGUCCUUCUGGAGGAGAUAAGUGGGACUAAGGGGAUGUCAUAACAUAUACCGGAAGAAAAUGAGACGGAUGAGAUGAAUUAUAAAUAUGUGAACGUACUGGAACCAUCCUGAGUCCGUCCCAACCACUUCCCCUCUGGGUUUCCUUGUACACGGAUGAUGUCCAGGCACUCGCCCUGCUUCAGACCAAGGUCAGUUUUAUUGCCUCUGCAGUCCACACAGGACUUACCCCGGUGGACGACC